GAACUUUUAGUAUAUUGUGUAUUUUUAAUUGCAAAUUAAAAGGUAAAGAGUUUUAU
This 56-nucleotide transfer RNA is filed under the name Angiostrongylus mackerrasae. Its description in RNAcentral is "tRNA-Cys". The record is from RNAcentral. Lineage: Eukaryota; Metazoa; Nematoda; Chromadorea; Rhabditida; Metastrongylidae.